GUGCAAGUUGUUAAGUGCGAUCGGUGGAUGCCUUGGCACCAAGAGCCGAUGAAGGACGUUGUAACCUGCGAUAAGCCCUGGGGAGUUGGUAAACGAGCUGUGAUCCGGGGGUGUCCGAAUGGGGAAACCUGGAAUGUCCGGAGUAGUGUCCGGUGACCCUGCCCUGAAUGUAUAGGGGUGUGGGAGGUAACGCGGGGAAGUGAAACAUCUUAGUACCCGUAGGAAGAGAAAACAACCGUGAUUCCGUGAGUAGUGGCGAGCGAAAGUGGAUGAGGCUAAACCGUGUGUGUGUUCAAGCCGGCAGGUGUUGCAUGUGCGGGGUUGUGGGGGCCUUUGGGUUCUGCUGCCGCAGGAUUGGCCAGUGAUAAAUGUUGCGUGAAGGUGAAGCGUCUGGGAAGGCGUACCGGAGUGGGUGAGAGUCCCGUAACUGUAAGCGUGGCACUGGUGAGGGUUACCCCAAGUAGCGUGGAACUCGUGGAAUUUCGCGUGAAUCUGGCGGGACCACCCGUCAAGCCUAAAUACUCCUUGGUGACCGAUAGUGGAUCAGUACCGUGAGGGAAUGGUGAAAAGUACCCCGGGAGGGGAGUGAAAUAGUACCUGAAACCGGUCGCAUACAAGCCGUCAGAGCCUUGUGGGGUGAUGGCGUGCCUUUUGAAGAAUGAGCCUGCGAGUUAGUGAUGCGUGGCGAGGUUAACCUGUGUGGGGGAGUCGUAGCGAAAGCGAGUCCGAUAAGGGCGUGAGUCGCGUGUUCUAGACCCGAAGCGGUGUGAUCUAUCCAUGGCCAGGAUGAAGCGUCGGUAAGACGUCGUGGAGGUCCGAACCCACUUCAGUUGAAAAUGGAGGGGAUGAGCUGUGGAUAGGGGUGAAAGGCCAAUCAAACACCGUGAUAGCUGGUUCUCCCCGAAAUGCAUUUAGGUGCAGCGUUGCGUGGUUCUUGUCGGAGGUAGAGCACUGGAUGGUCUAGGGGGCCUAUCAGCUUACCGAAAUCAGCUAAACUCCGAAUGCCGGCAAGUGGAGCGUAGCAGUGAGACGGCGGGGGAUAAGCUUCGUCGUCGAGAGGGAAACAGCCCAGAUCAUCAGCUAAGGCCCCUAAGUGGUAACUCAGUGGAAAAGGAUGUGGAGUUGCGUAGACAGCCAGGAGGUUGGCUUGGAAGCAGCCAUCCUUGAAAGAGUGCGUAAUAGCUCACUGGUCAAGUGAUUCCGCGCCGACAAUGUAGCGGGGCUUAAGUUAUCCGCCGAAGCUGUGGCA
Molecule: ribosomal RNA, 1249 nt
Filed under: Enterobacter roggenkampii
Lineage: Bacteria; Pseudomonadati; Pseudomonadota; Gammaproteobacteria; Enterobacterales; Enterobacteriaceae
Description: partial 23S ribosomal RNA
Rfam family: Bacterial large subunit ribosomal RNA
Source: RNAcentral